This 254-nucleotide ribosomal RNA is filed under the name uncultured bacterium. RNAcentral's name for it is "partial 16S ribosomal RNA". It matches the Rfam family "Bacterial small subunit ribosomal RNA", at positions 524 to 776 of the family's 1533-position model. The record is from RNAcentral.
UACGUAGGGUGCGAGCGUUGUCCGGAAUUAUUGGGCGUAAAGAGCUCGUAGGCGGUCUGUCGCGUCGGUCGUGAAAACUUGGGGCUUAACCCUGAGCUUGCGGUCGAUACGGGCAUGACUGGAGUUCGGCAGGGGAGACUGGAAUUCCUGGUGUAGCGGUGAAAUGCGCAGAUAUCAGGAGGAACACCGGUGGCGAAGGCGACUACCUGGCCUGUUCUUGACGCUGAGGCGCGAAAGCUAGGGGAGCAAACGGG